GUGAGGAAUAUUGGACAAUGGGCGCAAGCCUGAUCCAGCCAUGCCGCGUGCAGGAAGACGCAUCUAUGGUGUGUAAACUGCUUUUGUACGGGAAGAAACACUCCCUCGUGAGGGAGCUUGACGGUACCGUAAGAAUAAGGAUCGGCUAACUCCGUGCCAGCAGCCGCGGUAAUACGGAGGAUCCAAGCGUUAUCCGGAAUCAUUGGGUUUAAAGGGUCCGUAGGCGGUUUAAUAAGUCAGUGGUGAAAGCCCAUCGCUCAACGAUGGAACGGCCAUUGAUACUGUUAGACUUGAAUUACAAGGAAGUAACUAGAAUAUGUAGUGUAGCGGUGAAAUGCUUAGAUAUUACAUGGAAUACCAAUUGCGAAGGCAGGUUACUACUUGAGGAUUGACGCUGAUGGACGAAAGCGUGGGGAGCGAACAGGAUUAGAUACCCCUGUAGUCC
RNAcentral lists this ribosomal RNA (445 nucleotides) under uncultured bacterium. Its description in RNAcentral is "partial 16S ribosomal RNA". It matches the Rfam family "Bacterial small subunit ribosomal RNA", at positions 354 to 796 of the family's 1533-position model. The record is from RNAcentral.